Picea glauca (white spruce) is the source of this 231-nucleotide non-coding RNA. Lineage: Eukaryota; Viridiplantae; Streptophyta; Pinopsida; Pinales; Pinaceae. The record is from Rfam.
UAUGUAUAUUUAAGUUGUUGCAAUUAAAAAGCUCGUAGUUGGAUCUUGGGUAUAUUGUACUACCUCACUUUUUACCCAAUCCUGGCAUGGGGAGGUAGUGACAAUAAAUAACAAUAUUGGGCUCAUCGAGUCUGGUAAUUGGAAUGAAUACAAUCUAAAUCCCUUAACGAGGAUCCAUUAGAGGGCAAGUCUGGUGCCAGCGGCUGCGGUAAUUUCAGCUCCAAUAGCGUA